Molecule: long non-coding RNA, 540 nt
Filed under: Zea mays
Lineage: Eukaryota; Viridiplantae; Streptophyta; Magnoliopsida; Poales; Poaceae
Description: long non-coding RNA (ZMAY_LNC005403)
Source: RNAcentral
GGGAUAACCUCAUGAUCCGUAGCAGUGCUUGCGUGCUAGUCCAUUGAGUUAUAUAGGGAAGGAUUCUUUCCUCUCUUUUCUUUGUAGAUAUUGUGGUGGUAUUAAGUAUUUGUAGUGCUUAUAUUAGAUGAUCGUUGAAGUGCCUCGCCAUAAAGUGUUUGUUUAGUUGUCCCAUUAUUUAUAAUGAUAUGACCAAGUCUAGGUUUUAUAGGUUCGAUGUUAUGACUGUGGUGAACUAAAAUUGUAUUUGUAGUGCUUAUAUUAGAUGAUCGUUGAAGUGCCUCGCCAUAAAGUGUUUGUUUAGUUGUCCCAUUAUUUGUAAUGAUAUGACCAAGUCUAGGUUUUAUAGGUUCGAUGUUAUGACUGUGGUGAACUAAAAUUGCGUAGGAUGAGUUCAGAAUUUUUAUCGUCUAUCUGACGGUUCCUAUCAGUGUUGUUGUGUUGAUUGUGUUUAUAUGUGAAGUUUAGGUCUAAAAUUAUGAGUUUAUUUGAAAUGAUUUUGUGCACGAUUAUGAGGUGGACUAGUACAUAUAUGUGAUU